AGUGAACGCUGGCGGUAGGCCUAACACAUGCAAGUCGAACGGCAGCACAGUAAGAGCUUGCUCUUACGGGUGGCGAGUGGCGGACGGGUGAGGAAUACAUCGGAAUCUACUUUUUUGUGGGGGAUAACGUAGGGAAACUUACGCUAAUACCGCAUACGACCUACGGGUGAAAGCAGGGGAUCUUCGGACCUUGCGCGAUUGAAUGAGCCGAUGUCGGAUUAGCUAGUUGGCGGGGUAAAGGCCCACCAAGGCGACGAUCCGUAGCUGGUCUGAGAGGAUGAUCAGCCACACUGGAACUGAGACACGGUCCAGACUCCUACGGGAGGCAGCAGUGGGGAAUAUUGGACAAUGGGCGCAAGCCUGAUCCAGCCAUACCGCGUGGGUGAAGAAGGCCUUCGGGUUGUAAAGCCCUUUUGUUGGGAAAGAGAAGCAGCAGGUUAAUACCCCGCUGUUCUGACGGUACCCAAAGAAUAAGCACCGGCUAACUUCGUG
This 492-nucleotide ribosomal RNA is filed under the name uncultured bacterium. RNAcentral's name for it is "partial 16S ribosomal RNA". It matches the Rfam family "Bacterial small subunit ribosomal RNA", at positions 29 to 507 of the family's 1533-position model. The record is from RNAcentral.